GACUCGAUAGCUCAGUUGGGAGAGCGUUAGACUGAAGAUCUAAAGGCCACCUGUUCGAUCAUGGUUCGGGGCA
Molecule: transfer RNA, 73 nt
Filed under: Angiostrongylus costaricensis
Lineage: Eukaryota; Metazoa; Nematoda; Chromadorea; Rhabditida; Metastrongylidae
Rfam family: tRNA
About the family: Transfer RNA (tRNA) molecules are approximately 80 nucleotides in length. Their secondary structure includes four short double-helical elements and three loops (D, anti-codon, and T loops). Further hydrogen bonds mediate the characteristic L-shaped molecular structure. tRNAs have two regions of fundamental functional importance: the anti-codon, which is responsible for specific mRNA codon recognition, and the 3' end, to which the tRNAs corresponding amino acid is attached (by aminoacyl-tRNA synthetases). tRNAs cope with the degeneracy of the genetic code in two manners: having more than one tRNA (with a specific anti-codon) for a particular amino acid; and 'wobble' base-pairing, i.e. permitting non-standard base-pairing at the 3rd anti-codon position.
Source: Rfam by way of RNAcentral